GACGAGGGGUCCUAGCGUUGUUCGGAAUCACUGGGCGUAAAGAGUUCGUAGGCGGCUCCGUAAGUCGGGUGUGAAAUCCCAUGGCUCAACCAUGGAAGUGCAUUCGAAACUGCGGAGCUUGAAUAUGGAAGAGGGUAGUAGAAUUCCUGGUGUAGUGGUGAAAUACGUAGAUAUCAGGAGGAAUACCGGUGGCGAAGGCGGCUACCUGGUCCAAUAUUGACGCUGAGGAACGAAAGUGCGGGGAUCAAACAGG
RNAcentral lists this ribosomal RNA (253 nucleotides) under uncultured bacterium. RNAcentral's name for it is "partial 16S ribosomal RNA". It matches the Rfam family "Bacterial small subunit ribosomal RNA", at positions 524 to 776 of the family's 1533-position model. The record is from RNAcentral.